Molecule: ribosomal RNA, 447 nt
Filed under: uncultured bacterium
Lineage: Bacteria
Description: partial 16S ribosomal RNA
Rfam family: Bacterial small subunit ribosomal RNA
Source: RNAcentral
AGCGAACGCUGGCGGCAGGCUUAACACAUGCAAGUCGAACGGUCCUUCGGGAUAGUGGCGGACGGGUGAGUAACACGUGGGAACGUACCCUUAGGUUCGGAACAACACAGGGAAACUUGUGCUAAUACCGGAUAAGCCCUUCGGGGGAAAGAUUUAUCGCCUUUGGAGUGGCCCGCGUCUGAUUAGCUUGUUGGUGAGGUAAUGGCUCACCAAGGCUACGAUCAGUAGCUGGUCUGAGAGGAUGGCCAGCCACGCUGGGACUGAGACACGGCCCAGACUCCUACGGGAGGCAGCAGUGGGGAAUCUUGCGCAAUGGGCGAAAGCCUGACGCAGCCAUGCCGCGUGGAUGAUGAAGGUCUUAGGAUUGUAAAAUCCUUUCACCGGGGACGAUAAUGACGGUACCCGGAGAAGAAGCCCCGGCUAACUUCGUGCCAGCCGCCGCAGUAA